UGGCCAGACUCCUACGGGAGGCAGCAGUGGGGAAUAUUGGGCAAUGGAGGCAACUCUGACCCAGCAACGCCGCGUGAACGAUGAAGGUCUUCGGAUUGUAAAGUUCUUUAAGUGGGGACGAAGAAAGUGACUGUACUCACAGAAUAAGCCUCGGCUAACUACGUGCCAGCAGCCGCGGUAAUACGGAGGAUGCGAGCGUUAUCCGGAUUUAUUGGGUUUAAAGGGUGCGCAGGCGGCACGGCAAGCCGGCGGUCAAAUCGCGGGGCUCAACCCCGCCCAGCCGUCGGAACUGCCGGGCUAGAGUGGGCGAGAAGUGCGCGGAAUGCGUGGUGUAGCGGUGAAAUGCGUAGAUAUUAGGAGGAACACCAGUGGCGAAGGCGGCUUACUGGACUGUAACUGACGUUGAGGCUCGAAAGCGUGGGGAGCAAACAGGAUUAGAUACCCCAGUA
RNAcentral lists this ribosomal RNA (449 nucleotides) under uncultured bacterium. RNAcentral's name for it is "bacterial SSU rRNA". It matches the Rfam family "Bacterial small subunit ribosomal RNA", at positions 328 to 792 of the family's 1533-position model. The record is from RNAcentral.